AGCGGAAGGCCCUUCGGGGUACUCGAGCGGCGAACGGGUGAGUAACACGUGAGCAACCUGCCCUAGGCUUUGGGAUAACCCUCGGAAACGGGGGCUAAUACCGGAUAUUACUGCUGGACGCAUGUUUGGUGGUGGAAAGUUUUUCGGCCUGGGAUGGGCUCGCGGCCUAUCAGCUUGUUGGUGGGGUGAUGGCCUACCAAGGCGACGACGGGUAGCCGGCCUGAGAGGGCGACCGGCCACACUGGGACUGAGACACGGCCCAGACUCCUACGGGAGGCAGCAGUGGGGAAUAUUGCACAAUGGGCGGAAGCCUGAUGCAGCGACGCCGCGUGAGGGAUGACGGCCUUCGGGUUGUAAACCUCUUUCAGCAGGGACGAAGCGCAAGUGACGGUACCUGCAGAAGAAGCGCCGGCCAACUACGUGCCAGCAGCCGCGGUAAGACGUAGGGCGCGAGCGUUGUCCGGAUUUAUUGGGCGUAAAGAGCUCGUAGGCGGCUUGUCGCGUCGACUGUGAAAACCCGUGGCUCAACUGCGGGCCUGCAGUCGAUACGGGCAGGCUAGAGUUCGGUAGGGGAGACUGGAAUUCCUGGUGUAGCGGUGAAAUGCGCAGAUAUCAGGAGGAACACCGGUGGCGAAGGCGGGUCUCUGGGCCGAUACUGACGCUGAGGAGC
This 670-nucleotide ribosomal RNA is filed under the name Verrucosispora sp. 342. RNAcentral describes it as "bacterial SSU rRNA". It matches the Rfam family "Bacterial small subunit ribosomal RNA", at positions 65 to 754 of the family's 1533-position model. The record is from RNAcentral. Lineage: Bacteria; Bacillati; Actinomycetota; Actinomycetes; Micromonosporales; Micromonosporaceae.